AAGUCGUAACAAGGUUUCCGUAGGUGAACCUGCGGAAGGAUCAUUAACACUUUUUCCAAAACUCCUUUUUUCUUUUGGCUCAAACCAAAAGAUUUAAGGUUUUAACCCCAAUUUAUGGCGAACGAUGAUUUUCCAAAAUCAUUUUCUCUUCUUUAUCCUCUUUUUUUUUACCCCAAUUUUUAAAAAAUCAAAAGCCUGAUAUAAAUCGUUUUCUCUUUUUUUUCAAAAAGAGUUUUAACGACCGAAACCUAAUGGUUAAAACAACUCUUAGCAACGGAUAUCUUGGCUCUC
This 291-nucleotide unclassified non-coding RNA is filed under the name fungal sp. RNAcentral's name for it is "partial internal transcribed spacer region". The stretch from base 1 to 46 matches the Rfam family "Eukaryotic small subunit ribosomal RNA", at positions 1786 to 1831 of the family's 1831-position model. Lineage: Eukaryota; Fungi. The record is from RNAcentral.